GUGCGUGUGUGUGUGUGUUUCCACAGCCUGGAGAGAAGGGUUCCCCGGAGGGAGAGCGAGAGACGGAGAGAGAGAGGAACCACGUGUCGUUCGCCCGACACCUCCACACACACCACCACACACACUUGGGUAUGAGCUACAACCUGAUGUCGGGGCAGUACGACAUCUACCAAGGGUUGAGCUCCAGGUCGCUGGUCUCCAGUCAGCAGGUGUCAGGACACUCCUCUACCGAGGCCGAAGGGAAGAAGUAGGACCAUGUGACCACGUCUCACAUGAGGAACGGCAGAUUUAUCAGACAUCAAUUCCAUGGUGUUGAAUAAGCUUCGCCUCGCUGAGAGGCAGAGAACAAGAAAAAAAAAACUCUUUCAUUUCUAAUGACAACCACCUGUUUUAUAACACGUCUCCCAGGAGCAGAUGGACGGACAGAGGGAUGGACGGGUGAAUGGACAGGACAGGAUGUGGACCUUGUUGAACUUCCUGUAUAAAUCCUGAAUCACAAACUUUUCAAGCUUCAGUUUGGCAGAGUUUGGACGGAUGCAGGCGACGCGUACGAAACAAAACAUCCCAGAGCGCAGCGCACGCAGCUCUUUAUGAAAUGCACAUUUAUCGUAGUGUAUUAUGACGAUGAUAUGACUGAAUGUAAUGAUGAUGACUUCAUUUAUCCCAAUAGUGUUGAUGGUUUUUAAAAACUUCUAUUGGGAAACAGCAGUAGGAAGCUAAAAAGUCUAUUAUUCUCCUUAUUAUUCUCAUGAUGAUUAUUGAAGUGGUCCUCCUCCCUCCAUAGUGCUGACGCUACAUUUGUAUUACUAACCUGUACUUGAGCGUAACCAUGUUGAUUGUAUUGUCUUUAUGUGAGAGUAAACUUCACAUCGACCUGCCCAGUGCCAUGUAGGAACCCAGCGGUGUAAAUAUUCUGUACAGAUUCAUGGCGGAGCACUAACAUGCUUUAUCGUACUCUAUGUUGAUCUCCAUCAGCCAUGCAGGGGAGCAGCAGGCGGAGCAGAGGAAGCAGCCGGGUCUGUCAGGGAGCUUCACUUCAUCUGCAGCUGCAUGUGGGAGAGAUUUCACUCCGACCGCAGGGCUCGGUUUUUAUUUCUUUCUUUUCAAACUUAACAUGAACCAAGCUUCAUGUGUUUCAUUUCAUCUGAUCUGUUAUUUUCAGUUUCACUUUGUGAUUUCGGAACUAGAGAAUUUUGUCUGACAUACGUACGUCCCGUCGUCAUCACCUACGUGGGCGUCGUCUACCUAUACUUGGCUCUGAUUGGUUUGUAGACGCGUUGUCAGUUGUCACACCUGAUGUUUGGGUUCGGUCUAAACUGAAAAGUCUGAAGGUGUCUGAACCCAACAAGGUGUGAAAGGGUCCAUUGUGAUAAAAGCAUUUUCAUAUUUAAUAAUUCAGUUGGAGAACAAAUUUCAAACGCACCUAUUCUAAACUGACGUUCUCUGAUUGACCGCGACCAAGUCAUGACUUGUUACGACAGAAUAGAGGAAACUGCUCAUCGUGAUUAAAAGAUAAGAAACAGGUGGAGAACGCAGAAGAAAAACACAAACUGAAAUGAGCUUCAAGUAAAAUGGCUAAAUACCGUCCGUGACCCCGUCUUCUCCAAAGUCCCACAAUCCUUUGCCCUGCCUCUGCUCCCAUGCCCUCUACAAGCUAACUAGCUCAGUGCAGAGCCUCUGAUAGACACGACAAUCUUUUAUUUUACCCACAUUCUGAAAUCUGGUGCUGUUGGUUUUUAACCACUGGAGACCUGGCUCCUGUAAUGAGAUCAUUGGUGCUGGACGUGUUACUGGAGGACGCCUCUAGGGGGCACCAGAGAGUUGGCGACAGACGCUUGUUGGCGACAGACGCUUAUUGUCGACGUCUAAAAUGGUGCUGAUCUGUCGCCAGAUAUUUGGACAAACAUAUUCCUCGCUUUGCAUCGUUGGUGACACAUCGUACAAAAUGAUUCUAUUUAUUUUUGCACAACCGCCGACACGAACCCAGAGACACAGUCCAGUGUUGCUUUAACUGGACGUCCUGAUGCUGCGUUCACAUCAUGUGGAAACUGCUACGACCUCACAACUUUACAGUAACGUCCAGAUGUUGUAAAAACGCAACAUGAGGACGCACACAGUGAAUUUCCUUCAACACGGCUGAUAAUAAAAGUGCAUGUGUGAACCCGUGUCUUUCAGCAGCUCUGCCUCACUUACACAACACCUUACCUGCAUAGUAUCAGUGAUCAUUCUAUUACUUGAAUAUAGUGCUAUGAACUCUGUUUACAAAAUGCUGUCACGAGACACAGUGUUGUCUUCUACAGGCUGCUUGGUAAGUUCAGUUCAUCCACCUGGUGUAUCCAUUUAAUAACACACUCAAACCGUAUAAAUAUCAAACCUGCUGUUGCUUUUUUAUACUGUAUAUGCCUUAAUUCAUAUGUUU
Paralichthys olivaceus (Japanese flounder) is the source of this 2419-nucleotide non-coding RNA. The record is from RefSeq and is a predicted model, not a curated record. NCBI's taxonomy places the organism in Eukaryota, Metazoa, Chordata, Actinopteri, Pleuronectiformes, Paralichthyidae.